AUGUUUCUUAGCUUCAGUAAAAGUCUGAACCAUGUUUUCAGAUCCAUGGUUAUUUUACGUUGGGGUUGCCAGAUUCACCAGACAAAAAUAUGGAACACACAGAAUCAUGCUGCUGUCAAGUGCAUACAUGGUGACUCUCCUGUCCAGGCAUCAGAGGUGAUCCCAGUACCUUCACAGAAUGAACCUCUCUCCAAGACCUCCCCAGAGAAAAGGGCCACCCAGACCAUCCUGCUGAUGGUGAGUUUGUUUGUGGUUAUAUACCGGGUGGACCUGAGUAUCUCAUCUUCCUUCUUAUGGGCAUAUGAUCCUGUUACCCUGGGUGUCCAGAGGCUUGUGGGCAAUGUCUAUGCCACUGUAAGCCCUUUGGUGCUAAUCAGUUCUGAAAGGAUAGCCAAUAUUCAGUGAAAUAUGCAACAGAAGUGUGAUAGAUUUUUAGCAAAUUAAUAACAAACAUAAUCCACAGAAAAGUAUGUUCUUGUCAUCAGUUAAAUUAUUCAAGCAGCAGAUUUUUUGAUAUUUGAUUUAAUGAAAUUGUACAGAAUUCUACUUUUAUUAAAUCUAAGUUCUUUUGAAACCAAUGCUACCGAGAACUUGGUGGUUUCUUCAGUUCAGUAUCCACCACUUUAGCCCCA
This 632-nucleotide long non-coding RNA is filed under the name Macaca mulatta (Rhesus monkey). Its description in RNAcentral is "lncRNA (ENSMMUG00000058907.1)". The record is from RNAcentral. Lineage: Eukaryota; Metazoa; Chordata; Mammalia; Primates; Cercopithecidae.